GACGAACCGUGCAAACGUUGUUCGGAAUCACUGGGCUUAAAGGGCGCGUAGGCGGGUCUCCAAAUCGGUGGUGAAAACUUUAAGCUCAAAUGGAAAAGUGCCGCCGAUACUGGGGAUCUCGAGGGAGGUAGGGGUCGAUGGAACUAAUGGUGGAGCGGUGAAAUGCGUAGAUAUCAUUAGGAACGCCGGUGGCGAAAGCGAUCGACUGGACCUCUUCUGACGCUGAGGCGCGAAAGUCAGGGGAGCAAACGGG
Molecule: ribosomal RNA, 253 nt
Filed under: uncultured bacterium
Lineage: Bacteria
Description: partial 16S ribosomal RNA
Rfam family: Bacterial small subunit ribosomal RNA
Source: RNAcentral